GACGAACGCUGGCGGCGUGCUUAACACAUGCAAGUCGAACGGAAAGGCCCUGCUUUUGUGGGGUGCUCGAGUGGCGAACGGGUGAGUAACACGUGAGUAACCUGCCCUUGACUUUGGGAUAACUUCAGGAAACUGGGGCUAAUACCGGAUAGGAGCUCCUGCUGCAUGGUGGGGGUUGGAAAAUUCCGGCGGUGGGGGAUGGACUCGCGGCUUAUCAGCUGGUUGGUGGGGUAGGGGCUUACAAGGCUUUGGACGGUUAGCCGGCCUAGGAGGGUGACCGGCCACAUUGGGACUGAGGUACGGCCCAGACUCCUACGGGAGGCAGCAGUGGGGAAUAUUGCACAAUGGGCGGAAGCCUGAUGCAGCAACGCCGCGUGCGGGAUGACGGCCUUCGGGUUGUAAACCGCUUUCGCCUGUGACGAAGCGUGAGUGACGGUAAUGGGUAAAGAAGCACCGGCUAACUACGUG
Molecule: ribosomal RNA, 468 nt
Filed under: uncultured bacterium
Lineage: Bacteria
Description: partial 16S ribosomal RNA
Rfam family: Bacterial small subunit ribosomal RNA
Source: RNAcentral